This 495-nucleotide ribosomal RNA is filed under the name uncultured bacterium. RNAcentral's name for it is "partial 16S ribosomal RNA". It matches the Rfam family "Bacterial small subunit ribosomal RNA", at positions 28 to 507 of the family's 1533-position model. The record is from RNAcentral.
GACGAACGCUGGCGGCGUGCCUAAUACAUGCAAGUAGAACGCUGAAUUCGGAGCUUGCUUCUCUGGAUGAGUUGCGAACGGGUGAGUAACGCGUAGGUAACCUGCCUCUUAGCGGGGGAUAACUAUUGGAAACGAUAGCUAAUACCGCAUAACAGUAGAUAUCUCAUGAUAUCUACUUGAAAGGUUCAAUUGCUUCACUACCAGAUGGACCUGCGUUGUAUUAGCUAGGUGGUGUGGUAACGGCUCACCAAGGCCACGAUACAUAGACGACCAGAGAGGGUGAUAGGCAAAGCUGGGACGGAGACACGGCCCAGAAUCCUACGGGAGGCAGAAGUAGGGAAUUCUCGGCAAUGGCAGCAAGUGUGAACGAGCAACGCCGCGCGAGUGCAGAAGGCUUUAGGAUCGUAAAGGUCUGUUGUAAGAGAAGAACGAAAGUGAGAGUGGAAAGUUCACACUGUGACGGUACCUUAACAGAAAGGGACGGCUAACUCCGUG